GACGAACGCUGGCGGCGUGCUUAACAUAUGCAAGUCGAACGGAAAGGCCCUGCUUUUGUGGGGUGCUCGAGUGGCGAACGGGUGAGUAACACGUGAGUAACCUGCCCUUGACUUUGGGAUAACUUCAGGAAACUGGGGCUAAUACCGGAUAGGAGCUCCUGCUGCAUGGUGGGGGUUGGAAAGUUUCGGCGGUUGGGGAUGGACUCGCGGCUUAUCAGCUUGUUGGUGGGGUAGUGGCUUACCAAGGCUUUGACGGGUAGCCGGCCUGAGAGGGUGACCGGCCACAUUGGGACUCAGAUACGGCCCAGACUCCUACGGGAGGCAGCAGUGGGGAAUAUUGCACAAUGGGCGGAAGCCUGAUGCAGCAACGCCGCGUGCGGGAUGACGGCCUUCGGGUUGUAAACCGCUUUCGCCUGUGACGAAGCGUGAGUGACGGUAAUGGGUAAAGAAGCACCAGCUAACUACGU
This 467-nucleotide ribosomal RNA is filed under the name uncultured bacterium. RNAcentral describes it as "partial 16S ribosomal RNA". It matches the Rfam family "Bacterial small subunit ribosomal RNA", at positions 28 to 506 of the family's 1533-position model. The record is from RNAcentral.